Molecule: ribosomal RNA, 301 nt
Filed under: uncultured bacterium
Lineage: Bacteria
Description: partial 16S ribosomal RNA
Rfam family: Bacterial small subunit ribosomal RNA
Source: RNAcentral
CAGCCGCCGCGGGAACACGUAGGUGGCAAACGUUGUCCGGAAUUAUUGGGCGUAAAGGGCUCGCAGGCGGUUUCUUAAGUCUGAUGUGAAAGCCCCCGGCUCAACCGGGGAGGGUCAUCGGAAACUGGGAAACUUGAGUGCAGAAGAGGAGAGUGGAAUUCCACGUGUAGCGGUGAAAUGCGUAGAGAUGUGGAGGAACACCAGUGGCGAAGGCGACUCUCCGGUCUGUAACUGUCGCUGGGGAGCGAAAGCGUGGGGAGCGAACAGGAUUAGAUACUCGCGUAGUCCCUGUCUCUUAUAC